RNAcentral lists this non-coding RNA (45 nucleotides) under Schistosoma curassoni. The record is from RNAcentral. Lineage: Eukaryota; Metazoa; Platyhelminthes; Trematoda; Strigeidida; Schistosomatidae.
GUCUAGUUGACGAGUUCAAAAUGGGACGAAAUGUGCAUCCUGGAU